Molecule: ribosomal RNA, 605 nt
Filed under: uncultured bacterium
Lineage: Bacteria
Description: bacterial SSU rRNA
Rfam family: Bacterial small subunit ribosomal RNA
Source: RNAcentral
GCAAGAUUAAAACUCAAAGGAAUAGACGGGGACCCGCACAAGUGGUGGAGCAUGUGGUUUAAUUCGAAGAUACGCGAAGAACCUUACCUAGCCUUGACAUUGAUAGAAUCUUCCAGAGAUGGAGGAGUGCCUUUAGGGGAACUUGAAAACAGGUGCUGCACGGCUGUCGUCAGCUCGUGUCGUGAGAUGUUGGGUUAAGUCCCGCAACGAGCGCAACCCUCGUCACUAGUUACUAACAGUUAGGCUGAGGACUCUAGUGAGACUGCCUUCGUAAGGAGGAGGAAGGUGAGGACGACGUCAAGUCAUCAUGGCCCUUACGGCUAGGGCAACACACGUGCUACAAUGGUUAGGACAGUGAGAAGCGAUACCGCGAGGUGGAGCCAAUCUAUAAACCUAAUCUCAGUUCGGAUUGUAGUCUGCAACUCGACUACAUGAAGCUGGAAUCACUAGUAAUCGUAGAUCAGCUAUGCUACGGUGAAUACGUUCCCGGGUCUUGUACUCACCGCCCGUCACACCAUGGGAGUUGAUUUCACCCGAAGCGGGGAAGCUAAACUGGCUACCCUCCACGGUGGAAUUAGCGACUGGGGUGAAGUCGUAACAAGAUA